GACGAACCGUGCGAACGUUGUUCGGAAUCACUGGGCUUAAAGGGAGCGUAGGCGGGCUAUCAAGUCUGGGGUGAAAUGUCGCGGCUCAACCGUGGAACUGCCUUAGAUACUGACGGCCUCGAGGGAGAUAGGGGCAUGCGGAACUGUAGGUGGAGCGGUGAAAUGCGUUGAUAUCUACAGGAACUCCGGUGGCGAAAGCGGCGUGCUGGAUCUCUUCUGACGCUGAGGCUCGAAAGCUAGGGGAGCAAACGGG
Molecule: ribosomal RNA, 253 nt
Filed under: uncultured bacterium
Lineage: Bacteria
Description: partial 16S ribosomal RNA
Rfam family: Bacterial small subunit ribosomal RNA
Source: RNAcentral